GCAAAAUGAAGAGUAAGAAAUGUUACUCGAACAUUGAAGUAAACAUUACAUUUUUGCAAUUAAAUUGAGCACAGAUGCCAAAACAGGAAAUUCUAAACAACACCGGAAACGUGUUAAAUUCAGUCAAAACACGGUGAUGUUUAUUCGUGUUUAAAUCUACAUCGACGAACAAACAAUAAAUCUGAAGGGUAAGGCAAAUGUAAAAUGUAUAAAUUACGCAUAAAUCAUUACAAUGCGAGUUUUUCCGACUGGUGUAUGACGUCACAAAAAGUUGCCAGGUGCUUUUCCUUUCACACACACAUUAACGCAUGUAACGGAGGAACAAAAGCGUGAAGAUUUUAGCACGUUGUUCAAUCAGCAGAAAUUGUGUGUGAGGCUCCUCCAGACACUUCAUAUUCAGUGAUAAUAAAGAAUGAAGCAUGUGUUCAGAUCAUGCAGUCAACAGACGAAGAGCUCUGGAACGUUUGGAUUGAUCUUCAUUGCAGUGAUGGACAUCAGCUGCGGACAGGUGGCAAGUUUGAUUCUCCAGCACAGGAUCAGAUGUCCAUCCUGGAUGCAGCAGAGGCUUCAGGAUCUUCUCAGACUGAAAAGGUAAAUCUGGCAUGCUAGUGUCUCCAAGAGACAAUAUAAUGUGUGAUGUCAACAAGAACAUGAGGCAAGUCCUGAAGAUCAUACUGCUUACUGUGGAGCAUUCUUUUAUAUUUUCCUUUUUAUCCAACUAAUUGUGUUGGUGUAAUUAUGGGAGAAAACUGUGGUUCUUUGGCUGUAAUCAUACCACCUAUAUCUGUGCUAGCACCUCAACCAACCAAAUAACUGUAUAAUUUCUAGAAGAGAGAGAGAGAGAGAGAGUGCGUGUAUAAAAAGUUUAAUUGCAAAAACAAACAACCACUGUUUUCAGAGUUUCUCAGACAUUUUUGUAAGAGGUUGUACUCUACAAUACUCAA
This is a non-coding RNA of Danio rerio (zebrafish), 944 nucleotides long. The record is from RefSeq and is a predicted model, not a curated record. Lineage: Eukaryota; Metazoa; Chordata; Actinopteri; Cypriniformes; Danionidae.